Molecule: ribosomal RNA, 918 nt
Filed under: Aspergillus fumigatus
Lineage: Eukaryota; Fungi; Ascomycota; Eurotiomycetes; Eurotiales; Aspergillaceae
Description: LSU rRNA
Rfam family: Eukaryotic large subunit ribosomal RNA
Source: RNAcentral
UUAAGCAUAUCAAUAAGCGGAGGAAAAGAAACCAACAGGGAUUGCCUCAGUAACGGCGAGUGAAGCGGCAAGAGCUCAAAUUUGAAAGCUGGCCCCUUCGGGGUCCGCGUUGUAAUUUGCAGAGGAUGCUUCGGGUGCAGCCCCCGUCUAAGUGCCCUGGAACGGGCCGUCAUAGAGGGUGAGAAUCCCGUCUGGGACGGGGUGUCUGCGUCCGUGUGAAGCUCCUUCGACGAGUCGAGUUGUUUGGGAAUGCAGCUCUAAAUGGGUGGUAAAUUUCAUCUAAAGCUAAAUACUGGCCGGAGACCGAUAGCGCACAAGUAGAGUGAUCGAAAGAUGAAAAGCACUUUGAAAAGAGAGUUAAACAGCACGUGAAAUUGUUGAAAGGGAAGCGUUUGCGACCAGACUCGCCCGCGGGGUUCAGCCGGCAUUCGUGCCGGUGUACUUCCCCGUGGGCGGGCCAGCGUCGGUUUGGGCGGCCGGUCAAAGGCCCUCGGAAUGUAUCACCUCUCGGGGUGUCUUAUAGCCGAGGGUGCAAUGCGGCCUGCCUGGACCGAGGAACGCGCUUCGGCUCGGACGCUGGCGUAAUGGUCGUAAAUGACCCGUCUUGAAACACGGACCAAGGAGUCUAACAUCUACGCGAGUGUUCGGGUGUCAAACCCGUACGCGCAGUGAAAGCGAACGGAGGUGGGAGCCCCCUCGCGGGGCGCACCAUCGACCGAUCCUGAUGUCUUCGGAUGGAUUUGAGUACGAGCGUAGCUGUGGGGACCCGAAAGAUGGUGAACUAUGCCUGAAUAGGGCGAAGCCAGAGGAAACUCUGGUGGAGGCUCGCAGCGGUUCUGACGUGCAAAUCGAUCGUCAAAUUUGGGUAUAGGGGCGAAAGACUAAUCGAACCAUCUAGUAGCUGGUUCCUGCCGAAGU